RNAcentral lists this unclassified non-coding RNA (250 nucleotides) under plant metagenome. RNAcentral describes it as "partial contains small subunit ribosomal RNA, internal transcribed spacer 1, and 5.8S ribosomal RNA". The record is from RNAcentral.
GUAGGUGAACCUGCGGAAGGAUCAUUAACACGUAUCCACGUAUCCACCAACGAGAUGUACGUUUUCAACGCUCUCCGCUGGACUAAUGAACUGAGCUUUCGUAUCGUCAUUGAGAGGGAUAGCUUCGGCGUCAGACUUUACUCGCGAACUUGCAUCGGCGCAGCUUUUUGGUAGCGUCGGUGCAGACAGUUGUAUUUUUCGGCGGAUUCACGCUCACUAUGUUCGGGUCUCCUUUCAUUGACUUUUUCUG